The submitters of this non-coding RNA (105 nucleotides) gave its source as unclassified sequences. The record is from Rfam.
AAUUGCUGAGGUCGGAAAGGUUCCCGGCACACUCCGUUGCAUUGCGUUUGCGCAUAUAUGCGACUGAGUACCUGAGAUGCAGGAUACACCGCCCUGCCAUCAAUU